RNAcentral lists this ribosomal RNA (229 nucleotides) under uncultured bacterium. RNAcentral describes it as "partial 16S ribosomal RNA". It matches the Rfam family "Bacterial small subunit ribosomal RNA", at positions 568 to 796 of the family's 1533-position model. The record is from RNAcentral.
UCCGUAGGCGGUCUUUUAAGUCAGUGGUGAAAUCCCAGAGCUCAACUCUGGAACUGCCAUUGAAACUGAAAGACUUGAAUAUGGUUGAGGUAGGCGGAAUACGUUAUGUAGCGGUGAAAUGCAUAGAUAUAACGUAGAACACCAAUUGCGAAGGCAGCUUACUAAACCAUUAUUGACGCUGAUGGACGAAAGCGUGGGGAGCGAACAGGAUUAGAUACCCUGGUAGUCC